GACGUAUAUACAGAAAACAUACACAUAGCUGUAUAUACUAGGACGUAUAUACAGAAAUUCAGAUGUUAUGUUCUGCUAUUUGUAAUAGCACCCAUGGUAGUCGUAACAAAUUAGGCAGUUUUGAUUCAGCCAGGAUAUCAAUACUAACAUGCAACCCGCAUGUCCCAGGUUCACAGCCCUAAGAAGGGCUUCUCUAUGCACCAUGCUCUUUGUAGAGCAUGGUGAAUACAAGGUCAUGUAGGAACAGUAAAAGGGGGCAUCGCUUUAAACUGGAAGAGGGAAGAUUUAUAUGAGGUAUUAGGAAGACGUUCUCCUUGUGAAGGUGGUGAGGCGCUGGCACAGGUUGCCCAGAGAAGCUGUGGCUGCCCCAUCCCUGGCAGUAUUCAAGGCCAGGUUGGACGGGGCUUGGAGCAACCUGGUCUAGUGGAAGGUGCCCCUGCCUGUGGCAGGGGGUUGGAACUGGAUGAGCUUUAAGGUCCCUUCCAACCCAAACCAGUCUGGGAUUCUAUGUUUUGCAUUAAUCUUGCCAUCCGCUGCAAGCACAAUUACUGAUAAUGUGAAUGUCAGUCUUAAAUACAGCAUAUACUGAAAAAAAUAACUCUUUGCAGACUAAUUAGCAGGAGAAUUGAAUUGCAAGGCUUUUGCAGGUAAAAAUCAGUUUCUGUGUUUACAACUGAUAAUCAGAUUUGCCAAAUUAAGAGUAAUAACGACAUGUGUCUAGCAUCAUGCUAAUUUCCCAAAUACUCUACAUGAGCUUCUCUGAAACAAGCCAGUCGUACUUAUAAUGAACAGCAGGACUGGCUGAUGUCUGAUAUAGUCUAUUUAAGGUAAUUGUUAUGCUUCAGUGUUUUUGUUUUGUUCUUUUUAAAGAAAUUGCACAGGCUGAAAGGAAACCUAGGGAUUCAUUUCUGUAAUUGGUAACUGUUCUCUUCAACAGCAUCACACUGACAGAUGAGCAAGCUCUAUAGGAGCUAAAUCUUCUUUAAAUAAUCAGUCAAUUGGAAGUUACUAAUUAAGAUCUGAAGAGAUCUUGUCAAAGAAAGAUUGCUUUAUGAGGUGGACAGCUGGGAUAAGUGGGACAUAAAAAGGAAAGAGGGAACUCAGUAAGUUGGGAAAGGUUUUCUCCUGGGAGUUGAAUGAGUCAACAAAGUCACACUCUUAUGAAAAAGAUGGAGUACAAUGCUGAAUACCAAAAUGCAUGAGGAAGAAUGUAACCCCGCUUGAUAUAUACAGUAAUCUUUUUGCUAUUUUUAGCAUGGAAAAACCUCAGCUGGAUGUCUCUGGCAUUGCAGUUCAAGAGGAUGUGGACCAGUUGGAAAGAGCCCAAGGAGGAGCAUUGAGCAUAAUUAGGGGUCUUGGAUAUGACCAAGGAGGACCAUUUCCAGAUCUCUCCACUGGCUCUGGGUAACCCAGAUAUCGGAGUAAACAAUAAACUGACCCAACCAGCAGACAGCCCCAUGGGAAGCAGAGGUUUGGCAAAGACUGACUGAUGUAGCAUGAAAACAACAGAACGCUUUUUAAAUGAAUAAAGUAAACAACAUUG
This 1543-nucleotide long non-coding RNA is filed under the name Strigops habroptila (Kakapo). RNAcentral's name for it is "lncRNA (ENSSHBG00005012106.1)". Lineage: Eukaryota; Metazoa; Chordata; Aves; Psittaciformes; Psittacidae. The record is from RNAcentral.